This is an RNA transcript of Pectinophora gossypiella (pink bollworm), 9555 nucleotides long. RefSeq lists it as uncharacterized. NCBI's taxonomy places the organism in Eukaryota, Metazoa, Arthropoda, Insecta, Lepidoptera, Gelechiidae. The record is from RefSeq and is a predicted model, not a curated record. The transcript has 15 exons.
GGCCCGGCGCGACCGCGUGCGAUCACCUCCUAAAAUGUGCUCGCAGACCUCUCACUAUAAACAAAACAAAAUCACUUACUAUAAAACUGUAUUUUCCUCGUAAAAUGUGACUACACUGUACAACACCAGUCGACAUUUUUUCAUUUUAAUUUUAACCCUAUUUUUAUAUUUUUCACUCUUUUUAUUUUACACUGACAGUGCAUUUGCAAUAAAAAUAUUGUGCCGGUUACUCAGUGCUGUGAAGAAUUGUGUUGUGUGUAAUUACGGUUGUCCUGUACCCGGUUGUUAUCGAUUGUUUCCCGACACUAGUGGCGAACAGCUGUUUUUGGGGAUGCGGAAGUGAUUCGUAAACCGCAUCGUACGAUUUUCAUGCAAUUGACAAAAGGCAAUAACUUGUAAUAAUUUAAGUCUAUCAGCUAGAGAGUGAAAGAACUAUUCAUAAUUAAAAGAAGGAAAAAUAAUCUUCCGGAAAUACAUCAUCCGUGACUUGAAAUAAAAAAAUAAAUAACGGUGAUUUGAUAAAAGUCAGUGCUAGUGUAUUCAAAAGAGAAAUAAAAACUUGUAUUAAUAAUUAAAAAAGAAAAACCAAGUGUAGCGCAAACGGCUAGUGUGCCAGUGUUUUCGUUAAAAAUUCCGUGUAAAAUUGUGUUUACUGAAUUGGAUUUGUCUCGAGGAUUUGGAUCAGAGGUUGUUAAUAAGGCUGUGAGGUGUCGCGUGGGCGAUGCUGGGCGGGGCGGCGGGGGGCGGCCGCUCCCGCCCGCCCUCUGACCUGCAGCAAGGUGUGGGCCGAUUUCCUCUGUACACUUUGUUCCCGCAAGUUGGAACAAGGCCUUCUAUAACUAAAGUGACGACAGAGAGCCUGUUCUCGACGUCGCUAUCGACGUUCGGUGCGCCGACGCCGCCGCCGAACUCGCCGUACUCGUCGCUGCUCGAGCUCAACUGUGGACAGCGGGUCUUUGUUACUGACAAGGACCACAAUAAGAUGGACGAGGCUAAGUUGGCCAAGUGCAUGCCUGAUACGCUAUGCUGUCCUGGCGACCAGAGGCAGCUCAUCGAAGGUCUCAAUGUGAUGCAGCCUCUCACCAUAAAAACGGAGCAAGCGAAACGCUCCUGUAACACCUGCCAUACGAAUUCUCCGAAAAAGGUUAUCCAUACUGAUGGAGGAUGUAGCCGCACGAACCCCGUCGCCUGGCUCGGAGUGGCAGGUCAGAACGUCCAGGUCCAGGUCAAGCGCGAACCGCAACAUAUGCAUGUGUCGGAACUGGUGGCUGUCAAGUUGGAACAAGCGUCACCAGGGAACAAGCCGGAACAACCGCCGCCGGCCAUACCGGCGUCGCUGAACAACGGUUCGAUUCCCGUCGGCAUCGCGGUCGCCAGACAGAGGGUCGGCGACGCGGGCCUCCUUGCGGCCCUCUCGCAAAAGGACAACCAACAUCGAAUGCAUGAACUUGGCACGUCAUUGUAUUGUCAUUCCGCCACAGACGCGGCGCAGGCGGCCAUGACGGUGGGCGUGGCCAACGUCCUGUGCGACGAUCGCGCCGCCCCCCUGGCGUGGCCGGCACCGCAAGCCCCCGCGCCUCCUGCCCCCCUCUGGCAAUACCCGACCGCGCAAAUGUCGAUGGAGAGUAUGAUGGUGGGCGGAGUCGGAGUCGGCGGCGUCGGCUCGGUCGGCAGCGGCAUGUCGUCUGUCGGCGGCUUCCAGCUCGUCCGCGAGCCUACUUCUGGAGCCCUACUGCUCCUCCCAGCGCCUCCCGAUCUCCCACACACCGUUGUCUGGGGUGGCAUGCCUUAUUCCUCCGCUCCUCUGUUACUCCCGCCCGCUCCGCAUCCGUCCCAUCACUUACAAUUACUUCCAGGUGAUAUCCUCGCGUCCACUGCAACUCUUCAACAUACCCACACACAUUCUACGCGCCUGGUGACACUAGCCCCGGCGCCGGCCCCACAGCCUCACCCUCAAGCCCAUACGGCUGAUAAGAGAAAGCCGAUGAUGCAACCUCUCAUAACUCCUCACGCCUUAAUCAAAAUUGAACCAGAACCUCCUCUAGAGAAACCACAGCCCACAUUUACUGCUGAACCCGUUCAGCAGCCGAUGCUAACAGCGACACAUUUGUACUAUCAACCACAACCCCAAGAUUUCGCUGAACAACCAGUUAGGAGUCAGGCGACGUCACCUGCUGCACCACCCACGCCUCCCCCCGAGGCUCAGGAAGGCCCAGCACAUAAAGAUGCGUCAAACCAAACUGAUCAUAUUGAUGACGAAGACGAUUCCCCAAACCACGCCGACGAAGAUGAAAGGGGAGAGGUCGCUUGUGUGGGUGUUGCUCACUUCCCCGAAGAGAACCAUAUGAUGCAAUCCCAAACAGUAUUAUUACAACCGGCGCCUAUAGAUAGCGCUGAGGAAUCGUCAUCUGAAGGUUUGGCAACAUCGGCUGUUGUUGGAGCUGUAGAAAAGGCAAUUGAUGCAAUAGAAAGGGAUGAAGCGUUGGAUAAUUCAAGCAGUGGUAACUCCAGUGACUUGGUUAUCGAUACGGCAAGAACAUCGCCUGUGCAGGAAACUACGCCACAACCCGCGAUACCAGUCGUAGAUGUCAGUGGUCUGGAACUACUGUCAAACAGUAUUGAACAGUUCGAGAGAACUACUCCAGGAAUUAACAUGCCGACCCUUGAACCCGCUCCUCUUACUAUCGAUACGAGAACUUCAACAAAGUUGAAUAUUAUGAUCAAAACAUCUCCGAAAUCUUCACCGCGAACAAUCUCUGCUGAUACAGAACCUAGACGAUUCGAGUUUCCUGUUGCCGAACCAAGUACAAGUGACCAGGGUAAACAGUCGUUAGACGGCUUAGGUUUACUAUGUGCGUUAGCAGAACAAAGAAUAAUGCAAGAAGUUCAGCAAACACCGUUGAUUUCCCGUCCUUUUAUCAAGAAUGAAUUACUAAGUCCCACCGACAGGGUUACGCCUAUUGAACCCAAAAAAGACAGGCAUAGGCAUAGAGACGGAGAUUCAUCGAAUGAAAGAAGGAGAAAGCGGAGUUUGGAUAAGGAUGAGAGGCACCAACAUAAACUAGAAAAGAUACGAAGGCGUGAGAGAGAACGAGAUGAGAGAGAUACUAAAAAAGGAGGAGAAUUAGAAGCCAGUUUGCGUCGCGUGACCGCAUGUGCCUGCGGCGCGAUGACCUGUUCACACAAAUCCACCGUACCUUCAGCUCAAGCUCUUGUAAAUGCCAUAGAGAAAGACAUGCGAGAGAGACUGCAAGAGCUAGAACGACAGUGCGAUGAAAAGAGAGCACAACUGAAUGCUUUGACUCCGCCUUUGCCAGCGUUGUCUACACCCCCGACGCCUUCAACUCCUGCCUUAUCUCCAGACUCCGAUAGAGGUUCGUCAAAGAAGCGGAAAGUUGGUAGACCUCGUAAGGUCUCAAGUCCAGAUUCCACAGAAACUAUCGUCGCUAAGAAACCGAAAUCGAAAAGCAGUUUGGUCGGCUUUUUACUAGCCAAAGGAAAACUGAAAGGAGGUAUCCUUUGUUCUAGAGGAGAACCGUCCAGGGAAGAUGGCAAUCGAACAAGCAAAGUCCGCCCGAAGUUGAAAGCUGAGCCAAUUGUGAAGACUUACUCUGAGGAAGACGAUCAUGAAUGGGGCCUUAAUAGAUCUGUGAGUUCGUCAAUGGAAAGCUUAAAUGAGGUGCGACAGAAGAAUCGGGAGAAAGUCGAUAGGUUAGCGAGGAAGCAUUCUAGAGACGAUCUGCCGGAAUUGGAGUUUGCUAUGCGGAGGGCGAGUGCUUCAAGUGAUAGUGAAAAAGAAAGACGUAAAGCGAAGAAACGGCGGAAGAGUGUGAAGUCUAAAGAAAGGUCGGAAAGCAAAGAGCAGGCUCCUCUACCCGCCAAGCCGGCUAUAUCAAAAUGUACUUUAACAGAAGACAAAUUAGACUCUUCUCCGAGAGUACUUACUGCUAUGGGAGGAUUAUUUUACGCUGGCAAGCUCAGCGCGGUUACUGCUCCAGAUGUAUAUGCUAUCACUUUGGAUGGAGAAAGAGGAAAUAAACCACAUAUACUGUCCAGAGAAGAAACUUUAAGAGAUGCUAUUCUCGAAGUAAGUCCAGCGUCAGUGGCAGAACUACCAUCAGGCUCGAGAGUGUGCGCGUACUGGUCGCAACAGUACCGCUGCUUAUACCCUGGUACAGUCGUCGUGUCGUCUCCAGACCCUCAAGAUGACAAGUUUGUGGCAGUGGAAUUCGAUGACGGUGAUUCCGGCCGAAUAGCGAUUGAAGAUAUAAGGUUCUUGGAACCGAACUACCCUGUUGUUGAAUACGAGAAUCCACUAUUCACGCUCGGCAAACGGAGAAGGAAUACCAGUGUCACAGAGGAUAAGAAACCAGUAAUCACUCCCGGUGAAAUGAAAACCGAACCAGCUGCCCCGAAAUCUGAAGAUGAGGACAGACCCAAAGACAGGAAGAAGCUGAAGAAACACAGAAAAGACAAAAUCAAACGGCACUCAAGCGAAGACGAUCCUAACUCCACGGAUUACGUCAAGAAGAAGAAAAAGAAGCACAAGUGCUGCGAAGAGCAUUGCAAACACAGGAGGCAUCAUAAGAAGCAUCACAGGAAGCACAGAAAGAGGCACCAUUCUAGCUGCAAGGAGCACUCCAGUUCCUCAGGAGACGACCACCACAGGCACAAGUCCUCAUCCGAUUACAUCGACUCCAACAAAUCUAACGAAGAUUCUGGUGAUUCUAACGACAGACUGUCUACUCUUAUUGCAGUAGAAAAGUCACCAAAUGAGAAAAUGAAAACGGUAAUUAAGAAAGCAAUGUUGCCCAAGAACAGUUUGUUGAAAAAUGCAGUUUUGGACUUCAGCAAUUUGGGCAAGAUCACCUCGAAGAAGGAAGAUGCGAAGGACAAUUUGAAGGACAGCGGUAUUGGUUUGGAAGAGGAAGCACCUAUAGCUUCAACUUCAACGAGUGAAGCAGCUAAAAAGAAGGCAAAACGCCGGACAGUAUCAUCGACCUCGUCAGAAGGCGGUGCGGUGAGUGGUGUCAGCAAAAUGGCGGCGUUCUUGCCCGGUGGCGCGCUGUGGCGGUGGCUGGGCCCCGCGUAUCGGCGUACGGCGCGGCCGCGGCACCGCAAACUGUUCUACCGAUCCAUACAGCGUGGGGAGGAAACGUUACAUGUGGGUGACGCAGCCGUGUUCCUCUCGACCGGGCGUCCAGAUCGGCCAUACAUUGGUCGUAUAGUGGCAUUGUGGGAGGCGCGCGGAGCUAUGGCGGUUCGUGUCAAGUGGUUUUACCACCCAGAGGAGACGGUGCCUUGCCAAGAACAGCUGCAGUACCCGGGUGGCCUUUUCGAGUCUCCUCACACAGACGAGAAUGACGUCCAGACUAUAUCACACAAGUGCGAGGUAUUACCUCUGCCUCAGUACAAGGAGCGCAUGGGCGAUGACCCGGUCAAGUACAGCACUGUAUACGACAACAACGACGUGUACUACUUGGCCGGACACUACGACCCCACGCAGCAAACCCUGCGCAUGGAGCCCGACAUUCCCUACGCGAAUAAACCGAGCUCCUAAACGCUCCUAGCACCCUGGUACUUUUUACAAUUGGGACAGUGACUAAGUUUUUGCUUUUGCAGUGGUUAAUCAACGUUUUUUGAUCCAUAAAAUAGUUUACAAAUAAUUUAUUGUUAUUAUCUCAGUAAUAAGAAUUUUAAAGUACACAAUUUUCGAUAUCUCGAUGUGUUUAGAACGUGUUUCAGUAGAUUUUUUGCAAUUCAGUAGCGAUUCUGGAGUGUUGCAGUAGCUUGGAUUCACCUAUACAGGUCUUAAAGUACAAUGUAGAUUUUUGAGGCUCAAUUUGGGACGAUUUUUCACAUUUUACCGUCCCUAGAGACGAUUAUAUUGGUGUACUACGACUCAAUACGUUAAUAGUUACCCUUGUUACGUUAUAUUUAGUGAUAUCCACUUGGAUUGUUAUUUUCUCCUUGGAUUUGUAUGGGCCGAGUUUGGAUGGUGUAUGACAAUAGACUCAGAUUACGCUGGCGGGAGAUGUGAAUUCGAAUGCGACGAUAUGUGAUUUAUUUUUUAUACGUGUAACGCUGUAAUCUCGAUGUAUAGUAGCUGUAUUCGUGUAUAUUCUAUUAGAUAUCUAUAUAUACUUAGUUUCUUUAAUAUAAAAAGUCUAUUAUCUUAAAUUGCAAUACUGUUUCAACUAGUCUCAUAGAAUUGUAUUCAAAAUUAUACCCAGUGAUUCGUCUUAGUCAUGCGUUGGAUAAUUUUGGAGAAAAAUUUGGUCUAAUCUUUUCGUAAAGUUUAACAAAGUGUAUUUGUUAUAUUAUUGUUUUUCGUCAUUUAUUUUUUUUUAUAUUUUUGGUUGAUAAUUUUAUGUUAAUAUUGAUGUAUACCUUUAUAUCGAAUGGUGCUAGAUGCUUGAUACUUGAUAUUUGUUUAUUUCGCUGUAGUUAAGACUGUAUAUAGAUAUGUUUGAAUGGCGGCCGUCUCGUGCGGUGGUUUUUCUCAAAUAUAAUUUCUGCUUUUACUACAAUGUUGCCAUUUAAUGUACUGUUGAGUACUGUUAGAGUAUGAUUUGGACAGGGUAACACCCGCGCCCUGUUUUGGGUACCCUUCACAUUCAUAUCGUGGGUACCUACGUAAGGACUGAUAGAACAGGGACGUAGAUAGGUCGGUCGGGGGUAGCUAGGUAGGUUUUGUAUGAAGUGGCCAAAAAGUUUGUACGAAAUUGUCGGAGAAGAGUAAGAAUUCAGCCUUAAUGUUAUAAUUUCACCACGAUAGGUAUAGUUAACUAAGUUUAUGUAAUCUUCGUACAUAAAAUCAUUUUUUUAAACGGCCAAAUUAGGGUUGGCAAUACUGAUUGUAAGUUACAUCGUAUGUUUUUUGUUAUCAAUUGUACUUUUUUAGUUUUAAGUUUAUAUUUUAAGCUAAGAAUUACGUUUCUCUACGAUUAUAAUUAAAAAAAAAAUACAAAAAAGAAAAUAUAUUAUUGGACUUAAAAAACUUAAGAAAACAAAAGUGCGAAUUUGGAUACAAUAUUUGAAAAAUUGGUAUUUUUAUAUUAAGAUGAGGUAGGUUUUUGUUUUUUAAAGUAAGUAUCAAAGUGUAUAAGUACAAAAUGAAGUACGAUUUUUGGCUCGGCCCAGUGUAUGUACGUAUACUAACACUAUGGCUUAAUUCAAAAAACAUUAAAACAGUCUUGUUAAUGUGUAAGCUUGUGUAGAUUCUGAUUUUUAUUGGGGUUCCAUACCAGUUUAGCUGAUUAAAUUUGUUAACUCACCAUGCAACUCGCAGGAGAAGAAUAAAUCGGAAGAAAGCACCUGUACAUUUUACAAAGUUUAGAAUAAUAUUAUAUACUAGAUUUUUUAAUCAAUAUUAAAUUCCCACGAAAAAAUAAUCAUAAUUCAUAAUUAAUUUAUUCGCCUUAAAAAUGGUAGGUACAGUUUGCCUAAUCCCUAGCGUUAUUCCGUUUUCACACGGUCUGCUUACCUAAUCUGAAGAUAAGAUAGGUCCAGUUUUCUACAGGAGCUACUGCCUGUCUGACCUUUCAACCCCCAAAGGGAAAACCAGCCCAACACAGGUUAGGUUAGGUCACAUACCUCCGAAAAUGCAUUUCUCGUGAAUGUGGGUUGUGGGUUUCCUCACGAUGUUUUACAUCACCGCUGAGCACGUGAUUAUUAUUUGUGAUCCAAUUAUGAAUUUCGAAAACAAAUUCGACAAUCAUUGGUUUAGGCCUGUGAUGGAUUCAAAUCUGCGACCUUAAAGUGAGAGGCAAGCGCCACGGCUCCUACACACAUCUUCGCCAAGAAAACCAAGUGAAACGCCUUUUAGAAAUAUCACAUUCUUUGUGAUUUUAUUCAACAAAACCUCAAUUUUUUCAUUAUUAAUUUCACUCCGGGUAUAAAUUGGGACCACAAAUUUAUACCUGGAUUGAAAUUAGCUUGUCUAUUGAAAGGUUUUGUUAAUUUCGAUCCGAAAAGGCUUACAUGGUUUUCUCUAUAAAGUGAGGUUAAAACAGGUUAGUGACAUCGUAACGAAAACUGAGGGAUGAUUCAGACUAUGGUACUGAGUUGAUAUCAAGUGGAAUUUUCCGUCGAAAAAGUAUGAAGCUAAAAAAAAACAUAAUCAUGAAUUUUUCGACAGAAAAUUCCACUUGAUAUCAACUCAGAAUCACAGUCUGAAACAUUCCCCUCAGUAUUCGUUAUAGUGUCACUAACAUAUUGUAUAUUAAUAUUAACUCUAUGAAUCAAAUGAUACAUGUCAUUAUCUACGCCCCAAGCUUAGAUCGAAUCAUUGGCAUAUAUACCGUAUAUACCUUUGUUUGGCAAGAUGGAUAGACUAUCUCUAAUCUUUUUGCAAUCAAAAUUAUUAUGACGUAUGUUUGUGUGAUACGAAUGAAAUAGAGAUAUUUCUCGCCAAUUCUACUAAUCGCAUAGCUAAAACCGCGUAGUUAUCUAUGUUUUUCUAACUUAUAAAUUAAAUUUUAAAUAAAAACAUUGAUCUUUUGUGCAUAUUGUUUGUAGGCUUGCAUUUGUGUACUUAGGUUUUAAUUUAAUUGAUUUUUCUCAAAACUAUAAAACUCUUUUUAGAAUGACGAAUACUAUUAGAUAGCGGUCCAUUCUUAUAUAAUUUUGAUUUUAAGUAUACUUGUACAGCUAUUAUUAAUAGCGAAAUACUAAUUACUUUAAAUCACUAUAAAAAACUAUUAUUUUAAACAUAUUAAGUAUCGGCCCAAACUCAACACAAUUUAUAAUUUACGCAGAGUUGUGGUUUUAAUAACCAAAACUAUUUAAAUACUUUCAAAAUAAAUUCGUUUUUGCUUUGCAAGUUACAAACUAUUCAAACAUUUUCAUUUCAGGUUAAAAUAUUAUUAUUGUGUUAAUGAAACUUGUAACGUUAUUUUAAUUUAAUUGCACGGACUGCAUGUUUUAUUAAAAUCACUUCUGGCGUGCCAAAUCUAUUAUUAUUCUAAAUAAUAAUUAUUGUGUACAAUGUAUAUACUAUGAGAACUAGGUAGGUGAUGUCUAAAUUAUUAAAAUUAUGAAAAUCUAUUAACUUCUUUUAAUUUAUUUUAAUAAAACUUUGGGAGAUAAGUUUUUAAUAAUUUUUUCGAGGUCAAAAUGUGAACGUUUUUGUUAUAAUUUAUUUGGGAAUUUAUUUUAAAUGUUCGUUAUUUAAAUUUAUGUAAACAUAAGUGUAUAAAAAUAAAAUUAUAAGAAUGAAUUCCUGUUCUUAAUCAUUUGAAUUUAAAUUUAAAAAAUGUUUAUUUAAUAUAAAAUAUUGUAUAAAUAUAAUGUAAAUACUGCUUAUCUCCUUAAGUUUCAAAACGUUAAAAUAGUUAUUACUUUUAAUGUGCUCUUCUUCGAUGUUUUAUUUAUAUUGUGAUGUCCACGCUAUGAAAAUAUAAUUAUGGUCAAUUCCGAGCACUAUCAAAAUGUUCUGUGAUACAUGUGUUUCUUAGUUUAAAUUAUAAUAUAUAUUAUGUAAUAUAUAAAUUAAAAACUGUCAUUGGGUGUCACGUUCUUAAUGGCGAUAAAUAAACGUAUAAUGAAAGUAAA